RNAcentral lists this ribosomal RNA (520 nucleotides) under uncultured microorganism. Its description in RNAcentral is "bacterial SSU rRNA". It matches the Rfam family "Bacterial small subunit ribosomal RNA", at positions 9 to 525 of the family's 1533-position model. The record is from RNAcentral.
GAGUUUGAUCUUGGCUCAGAUUGAACGCUGGCGGCAGGCCUAACACAUGCAAGUCGAGCGGAUGAAGGGAGCUUGCUCCUGGAUUCAGCGGCGGACGGGUGAGUAAUGCCUAGGAAUCUGCCUGGUAGUGGGGGAUAACGUCCGGAAACGGGCGCUAAUACCGCAUACGUCCUGAGGGAGAAAGUGGGGGAUCUUCGGACCUCACGCUAUCAGAUGAGCCUAGGUCGGAUUAGCUAGUUGGUGGGGUAAAGGCCUACCAAGGCGACGAUCCGUAACUGGUCUGAGAGGAUGAUCAGUCACACUGGAACUGAGACACGGUCCAGACUCCUACGGGAGGCAGCAGUGGGGAAUAUUGGACAAUGGGCGAAAGCCUGAUCCAGCCAUGCCGCGUGUGUGAAGAAGGUCUUCGGAUUGUAAAGCACUUUAAGUUGGGAGGAAGGGCAGUAAGUUAAUACCUUGCUGUUUGACGUUACCAACAGAAUAAGCACCGGCUAACUUCGUGCCAGCAGCCGCGGUAACG